This 431-nucleotide ribosomal RNA is filed under the name uncultured bacterium. Its description in RNAcentral is "bacterial SSU rRNA". It matches the Rfam family "Bacterial small subunit ribosomal RNA", at positions 960 to 1391 of the family's 1533-position model. The record is from RNAcentral.
CGCGAAGAACCUUACCUGGUCUUGACAUCCACGGAAGUUUUCAGAGAUGAGAAUGUGCCUUCGGGAACCGUGAGACAGGUGCUGCAUGGCUGUCGUCAGCUCGUGUUGUGAAAUGUUGGGUUAAGUCCCGCAACGAGCGCAACCCUUAUCCUUUGUUGCCAGCGGUCCGGCCGGGAACUCAAAGGAGACUGCCAGUGAUAAACUGGAGGAAGGUGGGGAUGACGUCAAGUCAUCAUGGCCCUUACGACCAGGGCUACACACGUGCUACAAUGGCGCAUACAAAGAGAAGCGACCUCGCGAGAGCAAGCGGACCUCAUAAAGUGCGUCGUAGUCCGGAUUGGAGUCUGCAACUCGACUCCACGAAGUCGGAAUCGCUAGUAAUCGUGGAUCAGAAUGCCACGGUGAAUACGUUCCCGGGUCUUGUACACACC